This 399-nucleotide ribosomal RNA is filed under the name Sabinea septemcarinata. RNAcentral describes it as "partial large subunit ribosomal RNA". It matches the Rfam family "Eukaryotic large subunit ribosomal RNA", at positions 25 to 390 of the family's 3401-position model. The record is from RNAcentral. Lineage: Eukaryota; Metazoa; Arthropoda; Malacostraca; Decapoda; Crangonidae.
CCGCUGAAUUUAAGCAUAUUAAUAAGCGGAGGAAAAGAAACCAACCGGGAUUCCCUUAGUAAGGGCGACUGAAAGGGGAGGAGCCCAGCGCAUAACCUCGCGGUCCCUGGUUGGCCGUCGAGGGGUGUUGCGUUUCGGUGCGUUCGCUCCGCUCGUACCGCUCACCGCCUAAGUCAUUGCUUGAAAGCAGCCCCGAGGAGGGUGAAAGGCCCGUGUGGCGGCGCCUGUAAAAAGGGUGUAGGCGGUGCGGGCGGGAGGACGUUCACCGUAGAGUCGGGUUGCUUAGUACUGCAGCCCUAAGCAGGUGGUAAACUCCAUCUAAGGCUAAAUAUAACCACGAGUCCGAUAGCUGACAAGUACCGUGAGGGAAAGCUGAAAAGAACUUUGAAGAGAGAGUUC